UACGUAGGGGGCAAGCGUUAUCCGGAUUUACUGGGUGUAAAGGGGGCGCAGACGGCGAUGCAAGCCAGGAGUGAAAGCCCGGGGCCCAACCCCGGGACUGCUCUUGGAACUGCGUGGCUGGAGUGCAGGAGGGGCAGGCGGAAUUCCUGGUGUAGCGGUGAAAUGCGUAGAUAUCAGGAGGAACACCGGUGGCGAAGGCGGCCUGCUGGACUGCAACUGACGUUGAGGCUCGAAAGCGUGGGGAGCGAACAGG
Molecule: ribosomal RNA, 253 nt
Filed under: uncultured bacterium
Lineage: Bacteria
Description: partial 16S ribosomal RNA
Rfam family: Bacterial small subunit ribosomal RNA
Source: RNAcentral